RNAcentral lists this ribosomal RNA (891 nucleotides) under Triticum aestivum (bread wheat). RNAcentral's name for it is "partial small subunit ribosomal RNA". Lineage: Eukaryota; Viridiplantae; Streptophyta; Magnoliopsida; Poales; Poaceae. The record is from RNAcentral.
AUGGCCAGCGCCUCCUUGCUCCCGGCCAUGGCGCUGCUGCUCCUGGCAAUGGCGGUGGCCUCCUCCGACGCGCAGCCCUCCCCCGGCUACUACCCGAGCUCGAGGUUCAGGCCGGUGGUGUUCAACCGCGCGUACAGCAACAAGUGGGGCCCGCAGCACCAGACGCUCUCCGGCGACCAUUCGGCCAUCACCAUCUGGCUCGACAAGACCUGCGGUAGCGGGUUCAAGUCGAAGCAUGCGUACAGGAACGGCUACUUCGCCACCCGCAUCAAGCUCCCCGCCGGCUACACCGCCGGCACCAACACCGCCUUCUACCUGUCCAACAACGAGGCGCACCCCGGGUUCCACGACGAGAUCGACAUGGAGUUCCUGGGCACCAUCCCCGGCGAGCCCUACACGCUGCAGACCAACGUGUACGUCCGCGGCAGCGGUGACGGGCGGAUCAUCGGGCGGGAGAUGCGGUUCCACCUCUGGUUCGACCCCACCGCCGGCUUCCACACCUACGCCAUCCUCUGGAACCCGGACGCCAUCACCUUCUUCGUGGACGACGUGCCCGUCCGGCGGUACGAGCGCAAGACGGAGCUCACCUUCCCGGACCGCCCCAUGUGGGCGUACGGCUCCAUCUGGGACGCCUCCGACUGGGCCACCGACGACGGCCGGCACCGGGCCGACUACAGCUACCAGCCGUUCGUGGCGCGCUUCGACCGCUUCGUGGUCGCUGGGUGCGGGGCCGGCGCCCCGCCCUCGUGCCGCCCGGCCCGGGCGUCCCCCGCCGGCACGGGGCUCACGCGGCAGCAGUACGCGGCGAUGCGGUGGGCGCAGCAGCGCCACAUGGUCUACUACUACUGCCAGGACUUCCGGAGGGACCGCUCGCUCACGCCGGAGUGCUGA